GGCCCCGUCGUCUAGUGGUUAGGACAGGGGGCUUUCAAUCCCCAAACACGGGUUCGAUUCCCGUCGGGGCCGCC
RNAcentral lists this transfer RNA (74 nucleotides) under bacterium HR34. Its description in RNAcentral is "tRNA-Glu". It matches the Rfam family "tRNA". Rfam says of the family: Transfer RNA (tRNA) molecules are approximately 80 nucleotides in length. The record is from RNAcentral.